AGAAUGAACGCUGGCGGCGUGCUUUACACAUGCAAGUUGAGCGAGGCCGGGUAGCAAUACCCGAGUCGAGCGGCGAACGGGUGAGUAACGCGUGGAUAACCUGCCCAGAAGUGGGGGACAACCCGGGGAAACUCGGGCUAAUACCGCAUAACACCGAAAGGUCAAAGGGGCCCGCAAGGGUCUCGCUACUGGAGGGGUCCGCGUUCGAUUAGCUAGUUGGUAGGGUAAUGGCCUACCAAGGCGACGAUCGAUAGCCGGCCUGAGAGGUGAUCGGCCACACUGGAACUGAGACACGGUCCAGACUCCUACGGGAGGCAGCAGUGGGAAUUUUGCGCAAUGGGCUAACGCCUGACGCAGCAACGCCGCGUGGAGGAUGAAGGUCUUUGGAUUGUAAACUCCUGUCAGCAGGGAAAAAGCAACUCGGCCUCAUACGCCGGAAGUUGAUUGUACCUGCAGAGGAAGCCCCGGCUAACUCUGUCGCCAGCAGCCGC
Molecule: ribosomal RNA, 491 nt
Filed under: uncultured soil bacterium
Lineage: Bacteria
Description: bacterial SSU rRNA
Rfam family: Bacterial small subunit ribosomal RNA
Source: RNAcentral